Molecule: ribosomal RNA, 667 nt
Filed under: uncultured cyanobacterium
Lineage: Bacteria; Bacillati; Cyanobacteriota
Description: bacterial SSU rRNA
Rfam family: Bacterial small subunit ribosomal RNA
Source: RNAcentral
CGGACGGGUGAGUAACGCGUGAGAAUCUGGCUUUAGGUCUGGGACAACCACUGGAAACGGUGGCUAAUACCGGGUGUGCCCGUAAUUGGGUGAAAGGUUAACUGCCUGAAGAUGAGCUCGCGUCUGAUUAGCUAGUUGGAAGUGUAAUGGACUCCCAAGGCGACGAUCAGUAGCUGGUCUGAGAGGACGAUCAGCCACACUGGGACUGAGACACGGCCCAGACUCCUACGGGAGGCAGCAGUGGGGAAUUUUCCGCAAUGGGCGAAAGCCUGACGGAGCAAUACCGCGUGAGGGAGGAAGGCUCUUGGGUCGUAAACCUCUUUUCUCAGGGAAGAACACAAUGACGGUACCUGAGGAAUAAGCAUCGGCUAACUCCGUGCCAGCAGCCGCGGUAAUACGGAGGAUGCAAGCGUUAUCCGGAAUGAUUGGGCGUAAAGCGUCCGCAGGUGGCAAUGUAAGUCUGCUGUUAAAGAGUCUAGCCCAACUAGAUACAAGCAGUGGAAACUACAUAGCUAGAGUACGUUCGGGGCAGAGGGAAUUCCUGGUGUAGCGGUGAAAUGCGUAGAGAUCAGGAAGAACACCAGUGGCGAAGGCGCUCUGCUAGGCCGUAACUGACACUGAGGGACGAAAGCUAGGGGAGCGAAUGGGAUUAGAUACCCCAGUAGUC